GCAAGUAUGAAAGACGGUUGCGAGUCUAUAAGACUCGAGGAAAGUCCGAGCUCCAUAGGGCAGGAUGCCAGAUAACGUCUGGCGAGGGUAACCUUAGGGAAAGUGCCAUAGAAAAGGAAACCGCCACGUAGGUCCCGCCUACCUUCCGGGUUGUGUCGCUCGAGCGUGCAGGCGACUGUACGCCUAGAAAGAUAAUCGUCACCGCGCAAGCGGAACAGAACUCGGCUUAUUGAUUGCUUGCUUCU
RNAcentral lists this RNase P RNA (245 nucleotides) under Veillonella sp. RNAcentral's name for it is "RNase P RNA component class A". It matches the Rfam family "Bacterial RNase P class A". Rfam says of the family: Ribonuclease P (RNase P) is a ubiquitous endoribonuclease, found in archaea, bacteria and eukarya as well as chloroplasts and mitochondria. The record is from RNAcentral. Lineage: Bacteria; Bacillati; Bacillota; Negativicutes; Veillonellales; Veillonellaceae.